Molecule: unclassified non-coding RNA, 342 nt
Filed under: uncultured bacterium
Lineage: Bacteria
Description: contains 16S-23S intergenic spacer region
Source: RNAcentral
UCAGCAGACUUGCAUCGGGCCGCUGAUCUCCACGCAGGUUGAGGAAAUUCACCAGGGGAUUUUGAUGCAAUUCCGGACUGUUAACUUCGUCGCUGCCAAUGAAAUCAAAGGCCACGCCGGCGUUCAACAGGCUCCCUGCGAGCCCUAGGGCGUAGGGUUUGUCCGCCCCACCGGUCAGCACAGCCACCUGUGCAGUCACCGUUUCCGCCUUCUCGCAACCAGCCUCUGAAUAUUUGAUCACUGCGUCCAUCGCUGUCACCGAGUUCAUCCUUUGGCAACCGGCUUCGCUAACCGGUCAAUCGUCGCUUGAAACACCUCAUCCAAACCGAUAGCCGUGGUCGC